This 367-nucleotide ribosomal RNA is filed under the name uncultured bacterium. Its description in RNAcentral is "bacterial SSU rRNA". It matches the Rfam family "Bacterial small subunit ribosomal RNA", at positions 30 to 389 of the family's 1533-position model. The record is from RNAcentral.
AGUGAACGCUGGCGGCAGGCCUAACACAUGCAAGUCGAGCGGCAGCACGGCAAUAGCAAUAUUGUGGGUGGCGAGCGGCGGACGGGUGAGGAAUGCAUCGGGAUCUACCCUGUCGUGGGGGACAACGUAGGGAAACUUACGCUAAUACCGCAUGAUCUGGAGACAGCAAAGCCGGGGACCCGCGAGGGCCUGGCGCGAUGGGAUGAGCCGAUGUCCGAUUAGCUAGUUGGCGGGGUAAAGGCCCACCAAGGCGACGAUCGGUAGCUGGUCUGAGAGGACGACCAGCCACACUGGAACUGAGACACGGUCCAGACUCCUACGGGAGGCAGCAGUGGGGAAUAUUGGACAAUGGGGGCAACCCUGAUCC